UUGGAGGGCAAGUCUGGUGCCAGCAGCCGCGGUAAUUCCAGCUCCAAUAGCGUAUAUUAAAGUUGUUGCAGUUAAAAAGCUCGUAGUUGAAUUUCGGGAUCAAUAUUUCGGACAUGCCGUUGGUAUGCACUGUUAUCAUUGAUUUCUCACCUUCUAAGGAACCGUAAUGCCAUUAAUUUGGUGUUACGGGGAAUUAGGACUGUUACCUUGAAAAAAUUAGAGUGUUUAAAGCAGGCUCACGCUUGAAUACAUUAGCAUGGAAUAAUGAAAUAGGACAUCCGAUUCUAUUUUGUUGGUUUCUAGGAUCGAUGUAAUGAUUAAUAGGGAUAGUUGGGGGCAUUAGUAUUCAAUUGUCAGAGGUGAAAUUCUUGGAUUUAUUGAAGACUAACUACUGCGAAAGCAUUUGCCAAGGAUGUUUUCAUUAAUCAAGAACGAAAGUUAGGGGAUCGAAGACGAUCAGAUACCGUCGUAGUCUUAACCAUAAACUAUGCCGACUAGGGAUCGGAUGAUGUUAAUUUUUUAAUGACUCAUUCGGCGCCUUACGGGAAAC
Molecule: ribosomal RNA, 550 nt
Filed under: uncultured Glomus
Lineage: Eukaryota; Fungi; Glomeromycota; Glomeromycetes; Glomerales; Glomeraceae
Description: SSU rRNA
Rfam family: Eukaryotic small subunit ribosomal RNA
Source: RNAcentral